Molecule: ribosomal RNA, 253 nt
Filed under: uncultured bacterium
Lineage: Bacteria
Description: partial 16S ribosomal RNA
Rfam family: Bacterial small subunit ribosomal RNA
Source: RNAcentral
UACGAAGGGGGCUAGCGUUGUCCGGAAUCACUGGGCGUAAAGGGCGCGUAGGCGGCUCAUGAAGGCUGUGGUGAAAGUCCGGGGCUCAACCUCGGAUCGGCCGUGGCGACUCGUGGGCUGGAGCACUGUAGAGGCGGGUGGAAUUCCGGGUGUAGCGGUGGAAUGCGUAGAGAUCCGGAAGAACACCAGUGGCGAAGGCGGCCCGCUGGGCAGUGGCUGACGCUGAGGCGCGACAGCGUGGGGAGCAAACGGG